Molecule: long non-coding RNA, 510 nt
Organism: Cyprinus carpio carpio
Lineage: Eukaryota; Metazoa; Chordata; Actinopteri; Cypriniformes; Cyprinidae
Source: Ensembl
CGCUACUGCAGCGCUGAGGAAACGUGUUUGAUGGUUUCGUGAUUUGUCUGGCAUCUGACAACUAAGUUACUGAAGUAAAGCCGCCUUCUGAAGUUCUGGGAAUGUCUGUGUGCGGUUUCCACAGAUGUUUGUAUUAGCAUACCAACUCUGUAUUGUGUAUAUUCUGUAUUGAGUACAAGUUCCAAUAAACAAUGUCUUUAAUCUCUGGCCUGUUUUUUUUACAAUGUGUUAAGUUUGCGGAGACAGGUGGUGUCCAUGUAUUUUGCAGUUGAAAUUAAAUACCCAGAAAUCAAUGACAGUCUGCACGUGUUAUGUAGGAUGAAAGAAUUGGUGCAUUGUUGCACAUUUGUCAGUUUAAGAGAUUUAUUUAACAGCCAUGCCAUAUUGCAAAAGAUGUGCUGACAUUUAACACUAAAUGUGACUAGAUAUAACCUGAAAUGCCUAUUUUAUGUGAAGUUAUUUCUUAACUUCAUUCUGGUGUUAUCUUUUUAAAAGGGACACUCAGUUUUU